This 106-nucleotide non-coding RNA is filed under the name unclassified sequences. Its description in RNAcentral is "cow-rumen-2 RNA". It matches the Rfam family "cow-rumen-2 RNA". From Rfam's summary of the family: cow rumen metagenome. Environment (Cow rumen (57)) The record is from Rfam by way of RNAcentral.
AUCGAAGUAUUACAUUAGCAAGUAAUACAUAUAGCCGCCAUGGCAUAGCAAGAUGUAGCUGGAGUACAGGAUGACCGACCCAUAAGCUUGCUUAUAAGUCCCACAG